CAGAAUGAAUAUGGAAACGCGUCAUGGUACUGAAGGGGUUAAUAUCUCCAGAUCUCUGUAGUAUUAUUUUUCCAAGCCAUAUAGAUAAUAUAAUCGGGUUCUCAUUAGUGUUUUGUACUCGAUGAUGUAGAAUUCGUAUGAAAAGUAUCACUAGAAUCAUCAGAACACCAUUGAAAGUUGAUAUUCACUACACUACAGUCUGUUUGAAAGUAGAUGAACUGAAACACUGAGACGUUUGAGAAUGAACCCCUAAAACGAAGCACUUGGUCUCGUAUGAUUCACUCUAUUCAUGUAUUAUAAUCUCAUACUAAUAUAUUUAAAAGCGUAGUGGAAGUCAUUGAUAUUUGUAUUUUAUUAUAAUCCUAAACAUCAAUAUUGUAACUUCACUAUAAUUCAUUUCGUAUUUGAUUUUCUUCUCACUUUUCAUGAACUCCCCCCUUGCCAGACCGCCGCUAGAUGGCUCUGCUGCGCCACGCCACGCCACGCCACGCCACAUCACAUCACCCUGCCUGGUCUGCCCUUCCACGUCCCUGCGUCGCCUGGUGUGUACGUGAGGUCAUUCCCCUCACUGGCGUCACUUCGCCCCUACAGCUGCUCAUCUGGACCAAUGGGACGCCAGGAGCAAGGUACAGCACCACCACCACCACCACCACCACCACCACCACUUCCUCCGCACUUAGGAAGCAGACACGUUCUUUCUCUCACAGCACGAAGAGUCUCAUAGGCACGCGCAGUCACAUGAGGGAAGACAAAUAGCUCAGGGACAGAAAUGACUGAGUUCGUGAGAUUACAGAAGUAGUUUUGGAGAUGACGUGACUUCCAUGACCAGUUGGAGGGUUCGUGGAGCGUUGGAUGUGACCCCGAACUACCCCCACUACCCCGCUAGCAGUGACCUAAGCUGAAGGAUGACGAUGAUGGUGGUGGCAGUCUGCUGAACGCUGCAAAGGAGUCUCUCUGAGCUCAAGAGGACUAGUAACUGUACCAAGAAACAAUACUUGGUGUUCUCAAGCCUCACCCUGGCUGUAUCUGAAAUCUUUCAACUCAUGAAUUCAGAGAGAGAGAAGUUUAUCAUGGAGUAAAGAAAUACAAGCUGCUAUUUGGUUAGCUUAGAGCAGGAAUGGACAAGCAUAUAUUGCCAACCAAAAGCCUGGUUCAGGAGCCACCUGUAGCAUCGAGAUCAAAGAGCCAAAGAUUGUUCCAGUGUGAUUGGACUUGAAGAUCAUCUCUGAAAGCAAGAGAGAGAGAGAGAGAGAGAGAGAAUCAUCUUCGUCGUCAUCUUCAUCACCAUAUUUGAGUGGUGUGGGAGUUAUAGCAAAGGGACAUGAGCAAAGUUGUUCAGAUCAGUAACUAUAACAGAAUCAGAAAUAACGGGUUUAAGCUUAUGAAGUUCAGGUUUAGGAAAGAAAUGCGAAGGGACUAGUUCUCAAAUAGUGGUUGAUGACUGGAACAGCCUCAGUAAUCAGACUCUUAAUGCUGAUUCAGUAGGGAGCUUUGAUUUGAAAGAGUAGAUAAAUUGUUGAAUGAGGGAUGAUAUAGAUGGCAUUAAGUAACUUUGCUCUUCCAGCUUCCCUUAUUUUCGAACUUGUCUCUCCAGCAUCCUUGAAACACUACAUCAACUGCUGUUGUCCUCUGCAUAACUCCUGUUUGAGUAAAAAAAAGGGAGAUAGAUAGCCAGCCUUGUAUAAUGUGAGCAUCUUACAUUUCUUGCUUAUAGUCAUUUUGGAUAUGUUGAGAGGGUGGGGAAAAGCAUAAUAACCUUGUCUGACACACAAGUCAUGGCAUCAUGACUCUCCACACAUACCAUAUGCUUAUACUGUGGCUGCCCAGAAAGAACACUGCCAUUGGGAGAGACAGCACCAAUCAAAAAAUGUUGUGUUGGUAUCUGAUGCUGAGAGGAAGGAUGCUAUACUGUCGACAAGACAGCCUGUAGUAGAAAACAGCUUUGCACUUCUGCAAGCAGACUGUUUAGACUAUUGUAAGGUCCCCCACCUCCUUGCUUGCUUUUCAGAAUGUGAGCCUUUUGUCCCACACCAUUCAUCGUCACUUGGAGAUGUUGGACAAAAGGUACGACUCACCCAAGACCUGUAACUUUUGCACUGAUGAGAAAUUUCAAAUUGCAAGUUACAUUUCAAUUCAUGUUUGAUUGAGAUUACAACUGAUCGGUAUAUUUGAUACUUUGAUUAAUUUCUCUAUCAGAUACCUAAUUUUGUGGAAUAUUUCUAAACAAACAAAUUGUUGGAUUACUCACAAAUAUAUCCACAAUGACUUGGAUGAAGAGUCAAGCCAUAAAGAGCACCCCAAGCCUUUCCUCAACUGUGCUCCCAUUGCCCCAUUCAAGAUGCAGAGAUCAGCUACUACACUUAUGUUGUUGGCACUACAGUAUUCAUCUCCAUCUUUUUAUGCCUCACAUACUCGUAUCCCCAACAUACAAGGAAGCUAAUAAUACUCAAUUUGGGAAAUCAAGAGGCAUAUUUUAGGUCCAUUUCUUUUGGGUUUUGCAUUCAUCCCAUAUAUGACACAAGACAUGAAUAGAGCCAAGUCUCAAGAUCUUGCUACCUGGCAACAAGGCAGUCAUUAAUUACUCCAUCUCGUAAAGGCUAGUUCUCUGGAUUUGACAGGUAGUCAUUAUUCUAUCUCUUAAAGGCUAGUUCUAUGGAUAAGUAUAGAUAGUUAAAUAAAUGUACACAACCUGAUUUAUUUAAGAAAUUCAGUGGUUGCCCUCAACCUGCACACUGCAAAGUAGUCCUGGUUUCUUUUUUAUACAAUUUAAUGAUAUUAGCAUAGACAACCUUAAUGAUAAUUUCUAAAAUACAUAUCACAUUAUAAUGCCACCUCCUUUCACCUACAGUGACAUCCAGGACUUACAUUAGCAAUGCUACCUCCAACAAUUCCCUCCUGCUUAUCAAAUAUUUUCAAACAUUCAUCAUUGUCUCUAUGAUCACUACUAAAAUCUCAUGAUAAACUUUUUCAGAUCUCUAUACUAAUGAAUACUGAAUGUCACUACUGAUCUAGCAACAAGCCACCACUUGCUUGCUCUUGAUAGGGAAUGAAUGAUGAAUCCACUUACUUGCCUGUUAUUUUCAAUCUAUAAUUAGUAUUGAAAAUUAUGCACAAGAAUUAAUUACUAACCA
Long non-coding RNA from Portunus trituberculatus (swimming crab), 3131 nucleotides. RefSeq lists it as uncharacterized. The transcript has 5 exons. The record is from RefSeq and is a predicted model, not a curated record. NCBI's taxonomy places the organism in Eukaryota, Metazoa, Arthropoda, Malacostraca, Decapoda, Portunidae.